This 864-nucleotide long non-coding RNA is filed under the name Homo sapiens (human). RNAcentral's name for it is "HSALNT0252811". The record is from RNAcentral. Lineage: Eukaryota; Metazoa; Chordata; Mammalia; Primates; Hominidae.
CUUGGAGGACCUCAGUGUGGAAGUGAUAUUUGAAAAAAACUCUGAUGAAGCAGAAGAUGCAGAUGGAAUGCACCAUAAAAAAUAUGGGCAGCAAAUGAAUCCUAGUCUGAGGGAGCAGCUAGACCCUGGCGAGUUCAGAGACCCUGAAAGUCUGCAAUGCUUGAAGAGCAGCAAGGAGGUCGGUGUGACCAGAGUAAGCAAGUGGGAGACUGGAAACAGAAGAGUCUGAGUGCCUGUCAGUGCAGUGAUGUCUCCUAGAAAUGUCAGGAGGAUCAUAAUCACCUUGUGGUUCAUAUGAAACAUGCAUUUUGUUCCAGCCAAUGGGUUGUGAGAAGUGAGGAAGGAAAAAUGCAACUUUGUAUCCUAUGUUGGAUCUUGGAUUGAAAGAACACUAAUGAAAAACCUAGUGAAAUUCAAAUAAAGUCUGUGAUUUAAAAAGGAAAGGAAUCCCUCCCAGUGCUGCAUCACUUGACCGUGGGCUCCAGAUACCACAAGGCUGCGAUCAACGUGGCGUCCAGGCUGCAUUCCCACAUUGAGACGCAACCAGGGAAAGCUCCUGUAUCAAUACCUCAGAAUAUGACUGCAUUUGGAGAUAAAGAGAAAAUUAAGUUAAAACGAUGAGAUCCUUAGAGUGGGCCCAAAUCCAACAGAACUGGCGUCCUUCCAAGAAGAGGAAUUAGGAGGCACAGAUCUUGUGAAGACACAGGAAGAAGACAACCAUCUACCAGCCAAGGAGAGAGGACCCAGAAGAAACCAACUCUGCCAAAACCUUGACCUUCUGGAACCCAGCAUUAUGGGGUCUCUACCUGGCCGGCGCCACGUUGCCUGCCUUUUUACUGCACACAUGACAACAAAGAAAAGGGA